RNAcentral lists this ribosomal RNA (467 nucleotides) under uncultured bacterium. RNAcentral's name for it is "partial 16S ribosomal RNA". It matches the Rfam family "Bacterial small subunit ribosomal RNA", at positions 28 to 507 of the family's 1533-position model. The record is from RNAcentral.
GACGAACGCUGGCGGCGUGCUUAACACAUGCAAGUCGAACGGAAAGGCCUCUUUCGGGGGGUACUCGAGUGACGAACGGGUGAGUAACACGUGAGUAACCUGCCCUUGACUUUGGGAUAACUUCAGGAAACUGGGGCUAAUACCGGAUAGGAGCUCCUGCUGCAUGGUGGGGGUUGGAAAGUUUCGGCGGUUGGGGAUGGACUCGCGGCUUAUCAGCUUGUUGGUGGGGUAGUGGCUUACCAAGGCUUUGACGGGUAGCCGGCCUGAGAGGGUGACCGGCCACAUUGGGACUGAGAUACGGCCCAGACUCCUACGGGAGGCAGCAGUGGGGAAUAUUGCACAAUGGGUGGAAGCCUGAUGCAGCAACGCCGUGUGCGGGAUGACGGCCUUCGGGUUGUAAACCGCUUUCGCUCAUGACGAAGCUUUGUGUGACGGUAGUGGGUAAAGAAGCACCGGCUAACUACGUG